AGACCAUGAAGAACAACGCAGAGGAGGAAAGACGGAGAGGGACACAUCCUCAGUCCUCCCUUUAACAUGCUGCCCAGCAUCCAAACGUACCUGGAGAGCAGAGGGAGAUGUGUUCAUUUUCAAGACCCUGCUCAGUCCACCCAGUUCCUACCGUUUCUGUGAGGGGGUCAUCAGAGCAGACAGCUUGUCGUUGUAGAACCUCCUCAUGGCAAAGUGGUCGAGAGAAAGGUCUGCACUGAGGGAGAGGCAGACAUUCAGUAGUCACCUGACAUCAGUGUUACCUGGCUGACAUGUUGUUGAAGUGGAUGUAAGAAGCAACCAGGACUCCGAGCCGCCCUUUACCUCCCUGUGUGGACGACAGACACAGAAUCA
Molecule: long non-coding RNA, 372 nt
Organism: Lates calcarifer (barramundi perch)
Lineage: Eukaryota; Metazoa; Chordata; Actinopteri; Centropomidae
Exons: 3
Source: RefSeq, a predicted model, not a curated record